RNAcentral lists this ribosomal RNA (197 nucleotides) under uncultured bacterium. RNAcentral describes it as "partial 16S ribosomal RNA". It matches the Rfam family "Bacterial small subunit ribosomal RNA", at positions 328 to 539 of the family's 1533-position model. The record is from RNAcentral.
ACGCUCGACACCUACGGGGGCAGCAGUGGGGAAUAUUGCACAAUGGGGGAAACCCUGAUGCAGCGACGCCGCGUGAGUGAAGAAGUAUUUCGGUAUGUAAAGCUCUAUCAGCAGGGAAGAAGAUGACGGUACCUGAGUAAGAAGCCCCGGCUAACUACGUGCCAGCAGCCGCGGUAAUCUGAGCGGGCUGGCAAGGC